Long non-coding RNA from Pungitius pungitius (ninespine stickleback), 2708 nucleotides. RefSeq lists it as uncharacterized. NCBI's taxonomy places the organism in Eukaryota, Metazoa, Chordata, Actinopteri, Perciformes, Gasterosteidae. The transcript is spliced from 2 exons. The record is from RefSeq and is a predicted model, not a curated record.
GGCGCCCGAGCCGCUACAUUGUUGCAAAUACGACGCCUGCGAUGCUGAGAAAUGUUGGCGUACACAACAAUUACACUAAUUGAACAUUCCGUAGCAGCCCUGCAAAAUGGCGGCCGAGCCGGCUCGCUGUCUGUGAUGGCCGACGAGAGUGUGUGUUUGUGUGUGUGUGUGUGUGUGUGGCUGCAGUAGUCUAGGUGUCUGUGUGUGCGCCUGUUUGUCGAGUUGUGUGUUUGUGCUCGAUGUGAGAGUAAUCCUGCUUUUUCUUUUCACUGACUGCUUUGUGUCAGGGGAAGAAUCCCCUAAUCCAUAAUUACCAACCUCAGUACGCGGCGUGUGGGAUUCAUGUCAAACCGCCGCACUGUGCCACUGCAUGAUUGGGAAUUUAUGAAUUUGUAAAAAAAAAAAAAAAAAAAGAUCUUCUCCCCUUCACGGCCACCUUCAGACCGCUAAAUGGGUUUUUACCAAAAGUGCUGACCUUGUUGUUUUCUUUACAGCUCUCUGCCCAGCACCCAGCCAGCAGCCAGACGCCCCCCCCCCCCCCUCACCCGGCCUGGCCCGGACCCGCCCCAAACCUGCACGGCCCCGCCCACAUCGGGAAACCCGCAGGAGCCUUUGGCACGCCUCUGUGCCAAAAUCAUCCGCAAGAAAACCAAAAGGCCAGACAUUCAAAGAUAUACUAAGGGGGGGGGGGGUCAAGAGGCAUGCAGAGGGUCAAUCAUAGGGGAGACACUGAGUGACUCUGCUUGACAUAUGCGUAUUUCGCUUUGCCGCAAAGAAAGCAACGACUCCUGAGGUUACUUGUCCAAGUAAGUUGUCCCAUUCACAUUAGAUUACACACACACAGACACACACACACACACACACAGAUUAUAAACAUCGCUGGAUUCAUUUAAAUCGAUGGUGUUUUGGUAAUAAUUGAAAUGUGUGCAGUUCUGCGUUUUCUCAUCGGGGAGACUGUAAAAAGACAAAGCCGAACUAAACGACUACCAGCGCUCAGGCCUUAUCUCAACUGUGUGGGUGUGGGGGGGGGAGGGAGAGGAGAGGAGAGAGAGGGAGUAGGGUAGGGAGGGAGAAAGAGAGUCUGCCGCGGUUGCAAUGCGUUUGCCGUAGCGCGUCACAUCGUUCAGUCGAGAUGCAGCAGAGAGGAAAGACGACCAUGGAUGAGUAUGACUGUGUGUGUGUGUGUGUGUGUGUGUGUGUGUGUGUGUGUGUGCGUGGCACCUCUGCUAUGUAAUGUAUAUAAUGAUCAUUAUAAACAAAAGAAUACCUGUAAUAAAUGGCCAAUCUAUGUUUAUUCACUCUUACACUACACAAAGAUAUAGUGUAGUGUUUAGGAACCAUGAGGACAGUGUGUGUGUGUGCGUGGGUUAGUUGGUACGUGUGCGUGUGUGUAUGUGUGUGUGCGUGUGUGUGUACGUGUGUGUCAAAGGGGCCUCUCCGGCCCGAGUAAAGAGGAAAUGGAUGCCUCCUUAUCACCGCCGCUCUGACAGCUGACCACCACAGCUCCUUUAGCAACGAGCGCAGCGCUCACUCGCUGCUGCCCGACGACGGCGCCGCACGGAACGCCGCGCCCUGAUCCCGCAGACGCCUUCGCCCCCGUCAGCGCGGCCAUUCAGAGAGGGCGAGCGAGGCGGCCGCGGCCUCGCGCGUGAAGCAAGCGAAAGAGACACACUAAAAAGGAAGUGGCGGUUUCCUGUCUCUCUCUCGUGACGCGGAGUAGAAGAGAGCAAUGAUUGACGCCAGCGGAGGUCUGCUGGCUGAUGGCGAGGAGAGGCCGUCCUCCACGAGCACGCCGGCUUCCGUCCUCGACUGCAGACAGCAGCCGUCUUCAUUUUCCCAACUCGAUUUACGGGCAUCGGGAGACGGCGAGGCGCGCCCGCCUCCCUCGAAUGCAAUCAGCCUGCUUGUGUGUGUGUUUUUAAGAGGAAAUCGGAGGGCGCCAUCUUCAUCGGCUCCUCUUUUGUAGGCUGGUUUUCUCCCUGAAAUCCUUCCUGAGUGUACGAGGAUUUUCUUUUGCUAAUUGUGAUCUCCCUUUUAGGCUGCGUCAGAGAAGACAGAAGAUUCUAGUGCGGCCUAUAAACUCACCUCAUAAAGAUUUAUUUCCUGAGAUGUAGCGAUGAUUAGGAGGAAGCGAGAGAGAGAGAAGAGAGGGAAAGAUGAGUCCAUAGCCCCGGGGGAGAGGACGAGGUGAGACGGAACCACUUCUCCGCUCGCCACCGGUUGAAGCUCUCCAACCAUCGGAGCGCCAUCUGCUGGCUCGGUGGGGCGGGACAGCUGGUGUUGUGAAUCAGGCCGCCGCAAUCCAAGGAACGGCUACUUCCCAACACCAGGGUCUCACCCUCACCCCUCUCACCCCUCUGACCCCUCUGACCCCAUCGCCUCGGGCCGACAACGAGCCGGUCAGGGUAUGUUUCAAAGCGGGUGCUUUAUACUCUCUUGUGCCGCAUGAAAUGGUCAUCGAUCACUUGUAAUACUGGGAAAUCUAUGUGAAGAAUAUGUUCCUUUUGCAUCAUAUCCCCUGAAAUUAGGAAUCAGAAGAAAGUACAACAAACAGCAAAUAUCCCAAAUAAAAAUCUACCCUGUAGAACACACACAAAAAAUGAUGACAUGGAUGACAAUAAAAAAUGUCUGUUUUCCAAACAAAUUAAAUGUGAAUUUCCAAAGAUAUGACUGUGGUUUUGUCUUUUAAUAAAAGCUAACUGAAUUUG